RNAcentral lists this ribosomal RNA (489 nucleotides) under Gemmatimonadales bacterium. RNAcentral's name for it is "bacterial SSU rRNA". It matches the Rfam family "Bacterial small subunit ribosomal RNA", at positions 1054 to 1533 of the family's 1533-position model. Lineage: Bacteria; Pseudomonadati; Gemmatimonadota; Gemmatimonadia; Gemmatimonadales. The record is from RNAcentral.
GUCAGCUCGUGUCGUGAGAUGUUGGGUUAAGUCCCGCAACGAGCGCAACCCUUGCCCGUAGUUGCCAGCGGAUCAUGCCGGGGACUCUACGGGGACUGCCGGUGAUAAACCGGAGGAAGGUGGGGAUGACGUCAAGUCAUCAUGGCCCUUAUGUCCAGGGCGACACACGUGCUACAAUGGCCGACACAAAGGGCAGCAAUACCGCGAGGUGGAGCGAAUCCCAAAAAGUCGGUCCAAGUUCGGAUUGGAGUCUGCAACCCGACUCCAUGAAGCCGGAAUCGCUAGUAAUCGUAGGUCAGCCAUACUACGGUGAAUACGUUCCCGGGCCUUGUACACACCGCCCGUCAAGCGAUGGAAGCUGGGGGUACCCGAAGCCGGUGGCCUAACCUUCGGGAGGGAGCCGUCGAAGGUAAACUCAGUGACUGGCGCUAAGUCGUAACAAGGUAGCCGUAGGGGAACCUGCGGCUGGAUCACCUCCUUUCUAGGGAG